AUGGACGUGACCAUGGAGGACGUGGUCGGGGAUCUCGAGAUCUCCGGCUAUAGCUCCAUCUCCACCUCCCCGUCCUCCUCCCUUGACGACGGCAUGGGGCUGUACGGCUGGAAUGCGCUCUCCCCGGUCGCCGACUGGGGCCUGUUCUCCUCCGACGACGGCGGCCACGACCUCCACGGCCUGAUCGAGUCCAUGCUCUGCGAUGACGCUCUCAUCGGCAAGCCCGACGAGCACCCAACCAUGUUCACGGACGGCCCCUGCUACUCCAACGCGUCCGAGCCGAGCAGCACCACCACGACGAACCCAGGCACGCCCGUGCAGCACGACGACACGCCGGACUGCAAUCCCGAGAAGGGCCUCCGGCUGCUGCAUCUCCUCAUGGCCGCCGCCGAGGCGCUCUCCGGCCCACACAAGAGCCGGGAGCUGGCACGGGUGAUAUUGGUUCGGCUCAAGGAGAUGGUCUCCAGCACCAGCGGCAACGCCGGCGCGUCCAACAUGGAGCGCCUCGCCGCGCACUUCACCGACGCGCUCCAGGGGCUCCUCGAUGGGUCCCACUCCGUCGCUGGGACCAGCAGGCAAGCCGCCAUGGCCGCGUCACACCACCACAGCACCGGCGACGUGCUGACGGCAUUCCAGAUGCUCCAGGACAUGUCGCCGUACAUGAAGUUCGGCCACUUCACCGCGAACCAGGCGAUCCUGGAGGCAGUGGCGGGCGACCGGCGCGUCCACAUCGUGGACUAUGACCUCGCCGAGGGCAUCCAGUGGGCAUCCCUGAUGCAGGCCAUGACCUCACGACCCGACGGCGUGUCGCCUCCGCACCUGCGUAUCACCGCCAUCACGCGGAGUGGCGGGGGCGGUGCGCGGGCAGUCCAAGAGGCCGGACGGCGCCUCGCGGCCUUCGCGGGAUCCAUCGGACAGCCCUUCUCGUUCGGACAUUGCCGUCUGGACUCGGACGAGAGGUUCCGGCCGGCGACGGUCAGGAUGGUCAAGGGGGAGACGCUCGUGGCCAACUGCAUACUCCACCAAGCCGCGGCGACGACCACCGUCAGACGGCCCACCGGCUCGGUGGCGUCGUUCUUGACCGGCAUGGCCUCUCUCGGGGCCAAGGUGGUGACGGUGGUGGAGGAGGAAGGGGAAGCGGAGAAGAACGAGGAGGAGGCGAGCGACGCCGCGGCGGGAGGCUUCGUGGGCCGGUUCAUGGAGGAGCUACACCGGUACUCAGCGGUGUGGGACUCGCUGGAGGCCGGGUUCCCGACGCAGAGCCGGGUGCGCGGCCUCGUAGAGCGGGUCAUCCUCGCCCCCAACAUCGCCGGCGCCGUGAGCCGCGCGUACCGAGGGACGGACGGCGAGGGCAGGCGCGGGUGGGGCGAGUGGAUGCGCGGGAGCGGGUUCGAGAUGGUGCCGCUGAGCUGCUUCAACCACAGCCAGGCCAGGCUGCUCCUCGGGCUGUUCAACGACGGGUACACGGUGGAGGAGACGAGACCGAACAAGAUCGUGCUCGGCUGGAAGGCCCGGCGGCUGCUGUCGGCCUCCGUGUGGGCGCCGCCGCCACUGUCGGUGCCAUCGUCGCCGGCAGACGGGGUGUGCCAGCCCAUGGGGAUGGCGCCGUCCAGCGGCGGCUUUGGCCGGACGGAGUACGACUACGUUGACUCGUUCCUUGUGGAACCUGCUUACGCGCUAGUCUGA
Molecule: ribosomal RNA, 1686 nt
Filed under: Triticum aestivum (bread wheat)
Lineage: Eukaryota; Viridiplantae; Streptophyta; Magnoliopsida; Poales; Poaceae
Description: partial small subunit ribosomal RNA
Source: RNAcentral